RNAcentral lists this ribosomal RNA (253 nucleotides) under uncultured bacterium. Its description in RNAcentral is "partial 16S ribosomal RNA". It matches the Rfam family "Bacterial small subunit ribosomal RNA", at positions 524 to 776 of the family's 1533-position model. The record is from RNAcentral.
UACGAAGGGUGCAAACGUUGCUCGGAAUUAUUGGGCGUAAAGCGCACGUAGGCGGCAUUGCAAGUCGGAUGUGAAAUCCCUCGGCUUAACCAAGGAAGUGCAUCCGAAACUGCAGUGCUUGAGUACUUAAGAGGAUCGCGGAAUUCCCGGUGUAGAGGUGAAAUUCGUAGAUAUCGGGAGGAACACCGGCGGCGAAGGCGGCGAUCUGGGUCGAUACUGACGCUGAGGUGCGAAAGCGUGGGGAGCAAACAGG